Molecule: long non-coding RNA, 1338 nt
Organism: Triticum aestivum (bread wheat)
Lineage: Eukaryota; Viridiplantae; Streptophyta; Magnoliopsida; Poales; Poaceae
Exons: 6
Source: RefSeq, a predicted model, not a curated record
GGGGCUUCAAUGCUACAAAGGGAAAGAGCAGAGCAAUGAGGCAGCAGCCAGUGCCCAGGCAUUCCAGCCGUUGUGAGCGGAGAAGAGAGACGAUAAGAACAAGAAGAGAAUGAUAGGAGCGGCAAGCUAGCCAGUUCGUCGUUCUAGCCUGAGGCCAGAGGCAGGAGAAGCCAACCAAGAAGCGAGUCGCUGCUGCCUCUUCUCCGCCAGGCCGCGCUGGUGCCAACAGAGGCAAGAAAACCAAGGAGAGGAUGAGAAACUCCGCCCAGCGGUACUGCUGCUGCUGUUCUUCAUUGGAGUACAGUUUCCAUGUGUUUCUCCUCCGACUGUGUACGCUGAUGCUGCGGGAACGGCAGACGUCGCCUCCGCACACACCCCCAAGGACACCAAUUUCCCAGCGCCAAAUAGAAAAUGCACAUGUGAAAUCGAGAGUUUCUGCACUCCGAGCACAGAGUUAGCCAAGACUGUUCCUUGGAUAGCCUUUAUCUUAUCGAGUUUCGUUUCACUUGUUCCAGCUAUCCGUGUUGGGAAGCUAGGACCUGAUGGUCAAGGUGGUAGCCAUACCUUAUUCUGGUGGUUUCUGAUCUUCAACCUAUGGGGCUACAUCAUGUGGAACGUGUACACCAAAUCGUGUAACCGUUUUGACCCAAUCCGAGUGGCAUCUUUUAUUGGGGCCGCGAUCAGUUUUGUUCUUUUUGUCAAAGCGUAUAAGAAGCUGCCAAAGAGAGGGGGGUACUAGCUCUUUAAGCAUAUAUGUGUACAAUUAUGUGUAGUUAUUUGUAAACGUGGUUAGCUGAUUCUUUUGUAUGAUUUCAGGAUUUGAGAUGGUAUACCACAUUUCACACGGUCGUUGGGUUCCUCCUAUUCACUGCUGUUGUAAGCACGCAAGCCAGUCUCCUCGGUUGGAGUUGCCUAGGAGUUACUGUCGUUGCACAUUUCUUCAGGAUAAGUGCCACUGACUACUCUCAGUUCAACAUCAUACUGUUUUGCGCAUCAAUUAUUGGAACUAUUAGUGGCUUCCUUUGGCUAGUCCACCCAGACCUGUGUAUUGCGAAGCAUUACAAACUGUCUCCGAGGGCUGGAGACUUUCAUGUGGUGCGCUCCAAAAAUCGCACAGAUAUUGGCCACGCUGGAGGGUCACCAUAGGAAUGAAUGAGGAUCCAGUUGGCAGUAAAAAGAACUACGGUGGAUGCAGAAUCAAGCUAGAGACGCUUAUCAUCUGGAUUUAUGUUUUUAUUCAUGCAUACCCAAGUAUUUUACAUCAACGCUCAUUCGAUUCGAUGCGAAUAUUAUUUUUUACCAAGACCGAAUGGAACUUGCAGAGUGAUGCGUCUGAAA